Molecule: long non-coding RNA, 430 nt
Filed under: Pan troglodytes (chimpanzee)
Lineage: Eukaryota; Metazoa; Chordata; Mammalia; Primates; Hominidae
Description: long non-coding RNA NONPTRT018309
Source: RNAcentral
GCUCUCCGUCUGAAAACCUUGGCCGAAAGGGUUGUAGACAUGGCGGCCAUCAGGAUGGGAAAACUGACAACCAUGCCUGCAGGUCUGAUAUAUGCAUCUGUAAGUGUACAUGCAGCCAAACAAGAGGAAUCCAAAAAGCAGCUAGUGAAACCAGAGCAGCUCCCCAUAUAUACUGCACCACCGCUCCAGUCUAAAUAUGUUGAAGAGCAGCCUGGUCAUUUACAAAUGGGCUUUGCUUCCAUCCGCACUGCAACUGGUUGUUAUAUUGGCUGGUGCAAGGGUGUUUAUGUCUUUGUGAAAAAUGGGAUAAUGGAUACAGUACAAUUUGGAAAAGAUGCUUAUGUCUAUCUGAAGAAUCCUCCUCGAGAUUUUCUUGCGAAAAUGGGAGUUAUUACAGUUUCAGGAUUGGCGGGCUUGGUUUCAGCGAGAA